GUAGGUGGCAAGCGUUGUCCGGAAUUAUUGGGGCGUAAAGCGCGCGCAGGCGGUUCUUUAAGUCUGAUGUGAAAGCCCACGGGCUCAACCGUGGAGGGUCAUUGGAAACUGGAGAACUUGAGUACAGAAGAGGAAAGCGGAAUUCCACGUGUAGCGGUGAAAUGCGUAGAGAUGUGGAGGAACACCAGUGGCGAAGGCGGCUUUCUGGUCUGUAACUGACGCUGAGGCGCGAAAGCGUGGGGAGCAAACAGGAUUAGAUACCCUGGUAGUCCACGCCGUAAACGAUGAGUGCUAAGUGUCAGGGGGUUUCCGCCCCUUAGUGCUGCAGCUAACGCAUUAAGCACUCCGCCUGGGGAGUACGGCCGCAAGGCUG
This 373-nucleotide ribosomal RNA is filed under the name uncultured organism. RNAcentral's name for it is "partial 16S ribosomal RNA". It matches the Rfam family "Bacterial small subunit ribosomal RNA", at positions 527 to 896 of the family's 1533-position model. The record is from RNAcentral.